UCCUGCUCAGCUCAGCCUUGGUGGUGAAUCAUGCUGCCCCUGCUGUGCCACUUCCAGGCUCUCUGGGCUCCCACGCUCUGCUGCGGAGGCCCAGGCUGGCUCCCUCUCAGGGUGAGUGCUGCUUCUGGAGGGUGGAGGUGAGGGGAAGGGACUAAGGGUGGCCCUGAGGGGCCUUGCUGGAGCAGCAGUGGGGACCACACACAUCUGAGGGUCUGGGUAAGUGGGGGCUGCAGCCAGGCCUGGGGCAGGCUGGGGACAGCCUUUUCCCCAGCCUGGCUGGCCUGGGGGAUCGGGAGGGUCUGCGAAUCAAGCUCUGGGACUCCUUGAGGUUCCAGGAAGAACCCCGCCUGUCCCAGCAAAGGUGGAUCCAGGAGAGGAGUGGGCUUGGCCACCUCGGCUGCCACCAGAAGCUGCCCCUUCAGCUCCUAUCUGUUCCCCUCUGCCCCUGGAGCUUCUGAAACCACUUCCCUCCUCCCUGGACUUCUGCAGGCCAAGGGGUGCACAGGUAGGCGCUGGGGCAGGGGAAGUCAUGGACUUGCUCACCACUCCGAAAAGCUCUCACUCCUCAGGAAAGCUCUCAAAAGCAAAGCUCUGCACCCCAGUGCCUAGCAUAGCUUCUGGCCUCAAGCAGGUUUCAGGUAAGGUUUGAAUGAGUGAUUGAGGGAAACAGGUGCUGGCUUGGAGAAGGUGCUGUGGGAUAGAAGGCACUGAGCUGGGUCUUGAAUGGACAGGGUUUGAGCCAUCAGCCAUGGAGGAAGGGCCGUCCACAAGCAGAGACUCAAGGUAGAGAAGCACAGAGUGACCAGGGAUGCUACAGCUGGGCCAGCUGGGUGGGGGACGAUGGAGGGAAGAUGUCAAACAGGGAGGAGGAGAAAAAAAUUACGCAGAGAGGGGCAGGACCCUGGCAACAAUUGCACUGAAGUGCUUUAGACAUUUCCAGAAAUCCAGUGUUCUUCUCCCCUGGGCAGCGCCUACAAGGGAAAGCAAAAGCCUGCAAGCUUCGGGGUCGUUCAGUGCCUGGCCCUCUCCUGGCCUGGAAAGAGGAACAGAGGAAGGCCAGCAGGGCUGGGUGGUCUCCCGAUCACAAGUAUGCAUUUCCCAGGCAUCUGGGCAGUGAUGGAAUUGUCAGCCUGGAAGUCACCUCGAAGGAGAAAUGACCGUGUACCUCAGACAGAACAGACCCCAGGCCUCAGUGUGGAGCACUCACUACCCAAGAGCUCAGGGUCCUAGGGGUGGAGUCCAGGGCCACUGGGUGGCAGGGCCAGGAGGAGCAGCCGGGUCUACACAGGAUGGCACCGUGCAGUGGUGGUGAUGCUGAGCAGGGCCCAGUGAGUGCUUGCUGGGUGAUCGCCGCGGGCUGGCAUGGCACUGGCACUUCACACUCCUCAUUGCUUUUGAGUUUUGGGAGAGGUGAGGUGACCUGCCCAGUGGAGGAAGGCUGAUCUGAUCUGACAUAGGCCUGUCCUGUCUCGCGUUGGUUCCUGGCCUGUGUACUGGGCUCACCUGGAGGCUUUAAAAAUAUACAGAGGCUCAGGCUUCACCCCCCAA
This is a non-coding RNA of Chlorocebus sabaeus (green monkey), 1548 nucleotides long. The record is from RefSeq and is a predicted model, not a curated record. NCBI's taxonomy places the organism in Eukaryota, Metazoa, Chordata, Mammalia, Primates, Cercopithecidae.